Molecule: long non-coding RNA, 303 nt
Organism: Oreochromis niloticus (Nile tilapia)
Lineage: Eukaryota; Metazoa; Chordata; Actinopteri; Cichliformes; Cichlidae
Exons: 3
Source: RefSeq, a predicted model, not a curated record
GCCGCAGCAACCCCUCAACAGCAACAUUGUACCCAUCAGGUAAAAGGUCAACUGACAGCUGCUGGCUGAAACCUGUUCUACUAUGUGAUCAGCAGGAAGUCUGUGGAGCAGCAGGAGCAGGAGGAAGAAAGAUCGUACAACAGAUAAACACCAAACUCUGUGGACAUUCCUGCUCUUUUCACAUAAACUCCUCUAAUGUGUAAAACAGAAGAGACGUCAUGUACACAUGGUGCUUGUGUUUGAGAAGAAAAAAGAACAAAUGCUGUUUGGUAAUGUAAAAAGUAAAAUUAGAAAUAAAAUGAC